GAGUAAGAAUAUUGUUGGUGUUCUUAACUCAAGAGAAAUGUUUUUAAUUAUUUAUUCAUUAAAGUUUAAAAACCCGGCUAAGUGAAUCAUAGAAUAUUAAGCACUACACCAUGACUUAAGAUUAGCUUCACGAGACCUAUUAAGAAUAGAAUUUCUUGUAGGCUUUGUGACCAGGGGGAUUAGCGCUGCUUUCCCAAGACAGGUUUAUAAGUGAUUAUGAUCUUCAGGCUUUGCCUAACCAGGUUGGCUGGCCGGUGCUGACGGGACGGAGCUGAGGCUAGAGUUAAAUUCCUAUGUUAGACUUCCGCUGUAGCAAUUACUCAUAUCAGUCUUUUGUUUUCCCAACUUAAGAUCUUCAUGUUAAAUUUCAAAUGAUAUACCUGACCGAGCUUAGACUCUUCACUACUAAAUUUAUGCCAAUGAAUGUUGGUUGUCAGAAGCAUGAAACAAAACUUGUGAUCCAAAGGGGCUUAGCCCGACUCGUUAUCUUAUUAUUCGGGUUUUAACAAGGUUGUUCCUUGUUUAUUUCUA
This is a long non-coding RNA of Salvia miltiorrhiza (redroot sage), 531 nucleotides long. RefSeq lists it as uncharacterized. The record is from RefSeq and is a predicted model, not a curated record. The transcript has 2 exons. NCBI's taxonomy places the organism in Eukaryota, Viridiplantae, Streptophyta, Magnoliopsida, Lamiales, Lamiaceae.